GAUGAACGCUGGCGGCGUGCCUAAUACAUGCAAGUCGAGCGAACAGACGAGGAGCUUGCUCCUCUGAUGUUAGCGGCGGACGGGUGAGUAACACGUGGAUAACCUACCUAUAAGACUGGGAUAACUUCGGGAAACCGGAGCUAAUACCGGAUAACAUGUUGAACCGCAUGGUUCAACAGUGAAAGACGGUCUUGCUGUCACUUAUAGAUGGAUCCGCGCCGCAUUAGCUAGUUGGUAAGGUAACGGCUUACCAAGGCAACGAUGCGUAGCCGACCUGAGAGGGUGAUCGGCCACACUGGAACUGAGACACGGUCAAGACUCCUACGGGAGGCAGCAGUAGGGAAUCUUACGCAAUGGGCGAAAGCCUGACGGAGCAACGCCGAGUGAGUGAAGAAGGUCUUCGGAUCGUAAAACUCUGUUAUUAGGGAAGAACAAAUGUGUAAGUAACUAUGCACGUCUUGACGGUAACUAAUCAGAAAGCCACGGCUAACUACGUG
RNAcentral lists this ribosomal RNA (497 nucleotides) under uncultured bacterium. Its description in RNAcentral is "partial 16S ribosomal RNA". It matches the Rfam family "Bacterial small subunit ribosomal RNA", at positions 28 to 507 of the family's 1533-position model. The record is from RNAcentral.